Long non-coding RNA from Periophthalmus magnuspinnatus, 224 nucleotides. RefSeq lists it as uncharacterized. The record is from RefSeq and is a predicted model, not a curated record. NCBI's taxonomy places the organism in Eukaryota, Metazoa, Chordata, Actinopteri, Gobiiformes, Gobiidae. The transcript has 3 exons.
CAGUCUCUUCUUACACUGGAGCUGUGUGGAGCAUCUUCUCUGGACAGCAUCUCACAACAGGCGUAACGCUCGUGGCGAGAACAGAAGACAUGUCCACAUGAGUUCCCAUCAUCAACGCCGCCUCAGACACGGACAGCUGAGGAUCGGAGGGACCGCUCGUACAUAUAGGUGCUGUUCUUAAAAGAAAUGUCCACAAAGACCUCCUCCUCCUCCUCCUCCUCCUC